CUUCUUCUUCUUCUUCGUCUUCUUUUUUUUAAUCUGUUUAAUUAUUGUAAGAAGUUGUGCGUUUGUUGGUAACUUAGGUUGCUGACAUUUAUGUUUAAAGAUUAAGAAAAAUUCUUUUAUGGAUUGACUGAGACCACUCCUAUAUCCACCCCAAGGACAAAAGUGGGAGAAGGUUGAUAAAAGGACUAGGGAUGUAUUUUGGGCAAUUAGAAUUUAAUGUUCGAUUGUAGAUUCAUUGAUGCUGAUUUAGUGGGGUUUCUCUGCAGUGUUAAUUGUGUUGCGAGCAAUA
Molecule: unclassified non-coding RNA, 289 nt
Filed under: Hevea brasiliensis (rubber tree)
Lineage: Eukaryota; Viridiplantae; Streptophyta; Magnoliopsida; Malpighiales; Euphorbiaceae
Source: RNAcentral